RNAcentral lists this long non-coding RNA (3489 nucleotides) under Homo sapiens (human). RNAcentral describes it as "HSALNT0184452". The record is from RNAcentral. Lineage: Eukaryota; Metazoa; Chordata; Mammalia; Primates; Hominidae.
GGCAGGUAGCUGAAGUGGGAGGAUCACUUGAGCCUGGGAGGUUGAGGCUGCGGUGAGCCAAGAUUGAGCCACUGCACUCCAGCCUGGGUGACAAAGAAAGACCCUGUCGAAGAAGAAGAAGCAGCAGCAGCAGAAAAAGAAGAAGAAGAAGAAGCAGAAGAAGCAGAAGAAGAAGCAGAAGAAGAAGAAGCAGAAGAAGAAGAAGAAGAAACAAAGGGGAGGAUGCAACUUGGAGAGGUGAGAGUCCAGUUCAUUGAGUCAACAAUUAUUUUAUAAGUGCCUCCUGCAGGACUGGCACUGCUGGGCACUCAAGGGACCAAGAUUAGUCAGAUCAAGAUAGUUCCCUUUAGCAGCUCCCAGACUAUAAGAGAGAAAAGACCUAUACAAUCAUGGGAAUAUGAAAGACAAGGUAUUCAGUGCUCCAUGAGGCACAAGAAAGCUCUAUAGGACUUGGGAGAGGAGUAGCUGGCUGGAGGAAUCACAGAAGGCUUCCUGGAGGAAGUGGCUUUGAGCUUCUGCCAUCUCCAUGCAGCUACUCCAAGCUCCAGAGCCAGCCACGGAGCACUCCUGGAACUCUUUGCAGGAUCCAUCUCGAAGUUCUGACUCCCAGCAGAGAAACAACACUGGCCCAGCCCCUAGGAGAAAGCCUAACUGCAGUAAAGGAGUCCUGGAGACAGGACAAGAAUGAAGUCAAUGAAGCAUAGCAGGAGUGGAGAUAAAGACGCGCAUGAAAUUUGGUGCUGUGACUCGGAUUGGGGGACCUCCCUUGGGAGAUCAAUCCCCUGUACUCCUGUUCUUUGCUCCGUGAGAAAGAUCCACCUAUGAUCUCAGGUCCUCAGACCGACCAGCCCAAGGAACAUCUCACCAAUUUUAAAUCAGGUAAGCGGCCUCUUCUUACUCUCUUCUCCAACCUCUCUCACUGUCCCUCAACCACUUUCUCCUUUCCACUCUUCAAUCUCUCCCUUCUCUUAAUUUCAAUUCCUUUCAUUUUCUGGUAGAGACAAAGGAGACACGUUUUAUCCGUGGACCCAAAACUCCGGCGCCAGUCACGGACUGGGAAGGCAGCCUUCCCUUGGUGUUUAAUCAGUGCAGGGACGCCUCUCUGAUUAUACACCCACGUUUCAAGGGUGUCAGACCACGCAGGGACGCCUGCCUUGGUCCUUCAACCUCAGCGGCAAGUCCCGCUUUUCUGGGGUAGGGGCAAGUAGCUCAACCCCUUCUCUCCUUGUCUCUACCCCUUCUCUGCUUUUCUGGGAGAGGGGCAAGUACCCCUCAACCCCUUCUCCUUCACCCUUAGCGGCAAGUCCCGCUUUCCUAGGGGGCAAGAAGCCCCCAAUAGCUUAUUUCCGCACCCCAACCUCUUAUCUCUGUGCCCCAAUCCCUUAUUUCCGCACCCUGACCUCUUAUCUCUGUGCCCCAAUCCCUUAUUUCCGUGCCCCAACUCCUUCUCUGCUUUUCUGGAGGGCAAGAACCCCCCACCCCUUCUCCGUGUCUCUACUCUUCUCUGGGCUUGCCUCCUUCACUAUGGGUAAGCUUCCACCUUCCAUUCCUCCUUCUUCUCCCUUAGCCUGUGUUCUCAAAAACUUAAAACCUCUUCAACUCACACCUGACCUAAAACCUAAAUGCCUUAUUUUCUUCUGCAAUGCCGCUUGACCCCAAUACAAACUCGACAGUAGUUCCAAAUAGCCAGAAAAUGGCACUUUGAAUUUUUCCAUCCUGCAAAAUCUAAAUAAUUCUUGUCAUAAAAUAGGCAAACGAUCUGAGGUGCCUGACGUCCAGGCAUUCUUUUACACAUCAGUCCCGUCCUAGUCUCUGUGCCCAGUGCAACUCGUCCCAAAUCUUCCUUCUUUCCCUCCCGCCUGUCCCCUCAGUACCAACCCCAAGCGUCGCUGAAUCUUUCUAAUCUUCCUUUUCUACAGACCCACCUGACCUCUCCCUUCCUCCCAGGCUGCUCCUCGCCAGGCCGAGCUAGGUCCCAAUUCUUCCUCAGCCUCUGCUCCUCCACCCUAUAAUCCUUUUAUCACCUCCCCUCCUCACACCUGGUCCGGCUUACAGUUUCGUUCCGUGACUAGCCCUCCCCCACCUGCCCAGCAAUUUACUCUUAAAAAGGUGGCUGGAGCUAAAGGCAUAGUCAAGGUUAAUGCUCCUUUCUCUUUAUCCCAAAUCAGAAGCGUUUAGGCUCUUUUUCAUCAAAUAUAAAAAUCCAGCCCAGUUCAUGGCUCGUUCGGCAGCAACCCUGAGACACUUUACAGCCCUAGACCCUAAAAGGUCAAAAGGCCGUCUUAUUCUCAAAAUACAUUUUAUUACCCAAUCUGCUCCCAACAUUAAAUAAAACUCCAAAAAUUAAAUUCCGGCCCUCAAACCCCACAACAGGAUUUAAUUAACCUCGCCUUCAAGGUGUACCAUAAUAGAAAAAAGUUGCAAUUCCUUGCCUCCACUGUGAGACAAACCCCAGCCACAUCUCCAGCACACAAGAACUUCCAAACGCCUGAACCGCAGCGGCCAGGUGUUCCCCCAGAACCUCCUCCCCCAGGAGCUUGCUACACGUGCCGGAAAUCUGGCCACUGGGCCAAGGAAUGCCCGCAGCCCGGGAUUCCUCCUAAGCCGCGUCCCAUCUGUGCGGGACCCCACUGGAAAUCGGACUGUUCGACUCACCUGGCAGCCACUCCCAGAGCCCCUGGAACUCUGGCCCAAGGCUCUCUGACUGACUCCUUCCCAGAUCUUCUCGGCUUAGCGGCUGAAGACUGACGCUGCCCGAUCGCCUCAGAAGCCCCCUAGACCAUCACCGACGCUGAGCUUCGGGUAACUCUCACAGUGGAAGAUGAAGAAACUGGGGCUCUGAAUGGCAUAUUAACGCGUGCAGCUCCAGACAGCGAGGAAGUGAUGGCAACUCUAUCCGAACUCAAAUCUGCCAGACCUAUACCAGUAGGUGCCUGUGUGCAGUUGGGGACUCACCUCUGCCAGUGCUGGCAUGAGCUAGCUGUCUUGAACUGAAAACAGACACUCAAAGAUGGGCUGUGGGAUCCCAGAGAGGUGGCAGAAUGGUCAAAGCUAUGAAGCCAACAGCUGCUGCCAACAAGAAAGUCCUGAGCCCUGAGUGAUUGUAAUUUAAACUUAAUGCUGGGAGUGGGUGUUUAUUUUGGAGGAGUGGGCUGCUUAUUUUUGGUUUGGGGACUUGUUCAUUCAUCUUUUCUCAGCGGCGCCUACUGCUGCCCUGGCCCGAAGUUAAAGCUCAAUAAAUCACUGUUGCACAACUGAGUGCCCACGCCUAGAUUGUAAGUUCCUGGAAGGCAAGGAUUUGUGUCCCACACUUGUUUUGUACCCUCCAGGAUCUUGCACAGCACUUGGCGAAUGGGUAUUGAAUGAAUUCAUUCACUGAAGCGUCUCUCUGGUGCCAGGCCCAGUGCUAAGUGAUGGGAAUACACAGAUGAAUACGAUAUGGUCCCUGCUCUUGGGUAACUCAUUAUUCUGGUAAAUGAAUAAAGGAAA